RNAcentral lists this ribosomal RNA (491 nucleotides) under uncultured bacterium. RNAcentral's name for it is "partial 16S ribosomal RNA". It matches the Rfam family "Bacterial small subunit ribosomal RNA", at positions 29 to 506 of the family's 1533-position model. The record is from RNAcentral.
AGUGAACGCUGGCGGUAGGCCUAACACAUGCAAGUCGAACGGCAGCACAGUAAGAGCUUGCUCUUACGGGUGGCGAGUGGCGGACGGGUGAGGAAUACAUCGGAAUCUACUUUUUCGUGGGGGAUAACGUAGGGAAACUUACGCUAAUACCGCAUACGACCUACGGGUGAAAGCAGGGGAUCCUCGGACCUUGCGCGAUUGAAUGAGCCGAUGUCGGAUUAGCUAGUUGGCGGGGUAAAGGCCCACCAAGGCGACGAUCCGUAGCUGGUCUGAGAGGAUGAUCAGCCACACUGGAACUGAGACACGGUCCAGACUCCUACGGGAGGCAGCAGUGGGGAAUAUUGGACAAUGGGCGCAAGCCUGAUCCAGCCAUACCGCGUGGGUGAGGAAGGCCUUCGGGUUGUAAAGCCCUUUUGUUGGGAAAGAAAAGCAGCAGGUUAAUACCCCGCUGUUCUGACGGUACCCAAAGAAUAAGCACCGGCUAACUUCGU